ACCUUAUCACAUUGCCACACUGCUGUUUGGAUCUGCUGAUCUGGUAAUUUGGAAACUGGAAUAUAGCAGGGCAGCAGUGUGUAUAGCAGGCCAGGCAUCAGUGAGCGAGCAGACUCAAUGUUUUGCAGUUUAAGUUUAACUUUACAUUUCUGUCAAGCGUCCAAGUCAAACCCAAGUUGGCAAACUUACUUCUGCAGACUGCAGUACAGAAUCUGGUCCGCACUCCCAGUCCCAGGAUGAGAAAAUUUACUUUCUCUGGUGGCUCGAGUUUGACCUCUGGCUCCAGGAACAUUCUUCAUCACAACAUGCCCACUGUUUAAACGAUGCAUGUGCCACACACGCUUAAUGACUUGAGGAUGGCGUGUCUGUACAUGCCUUCCCCAGGGAUGUUCACCUUUGUACUUUGUGGGUGAGUCAAUGUGAACCAACGUGGGACACAUACCAUUAUUUGUCAAGGAUGUGAUACACAGCAAGAGAGCCAAGUAUUACUUGUGCUAAAAGCAUUUUGAGGAUUGCAUGUUUGAAACUAAUCUGAUGAAGAAACUUCUUCCCAAAGGCCUGCUGAAAUGGCAGACUCAUCGACAUUUGAAGAGAAAUGCACUGCCUACAAUUUUCAGUUUUUCACAGAAAGAAGACAGAACAUCAUCAAGUCAGAAAAUUGCAGUACAGGAAAAGAAAAAGCUCCUGUAGCAGUUGCUCUCUUCACAGCUGAGUACAUUUCAGUUGAUAGCACAGCAGGUGGAUGAUAACCAUGCACAGGAACAUUCUUCAUCACAACAUGCCCCACUGCCUAGACUGCAUGUGCAACACAACCUGGACAACUUGAGGAUGGUGUGUUUGUACAUGACUUCCUCAGGAAUAUUUGCCUUUGGACUAUGUGGGCAGUGUGUAACCAAUCUGGGACAUACACCAACAUUUGUCAAGGAUGUGAUCCACAGCAAAAGAGCCAAGUAUUAGUUGUGCCCCAAGUAGUUUGAAACCAAUCUGAUGAAGAAAUUUCUUUGCAAAGACCUACUGAAACGGCAGACUCACUGAUGUUUGAAGAGAAAUGCACUGCCUUCAGUUUUCAGUUUUGCACAGAAAAGAGACAGACCAUCAUCAAGUCGAUGAAUUGCAGUGCAGCAAUGGAAAAAGAUGUGUAGUAUGCAAUUUUAGUUUGUGACCAUGAUUGCAUGUUUGGAAGA
Protopterus annectens (West African lungfish) is the source of this 1184-nucleotide long non-coding RNA. RefSeq lists it as uncharacterized. The record is from RefSeq and is a predicted model, not a curated record. Lineage: Eukaryota; Metazoa; Chordata; Ceratodontiformes; Protopteridae. The transcript has 4 exons.